AGCGACCAUAGGAGUAUGGAAACGCCCGAUCCCAUUUCGAACUCGGAAGCUAAGCAUGCUCACGAUGUUGUCUGUACUGC
This 80-nucleotide ribosomal RNA is filed under the name Candidatus Gugararchaeum adminiculabundum. Lineage: Archaea; Nanobdellati; Microcaldota; Candidatus Micrarchaeia; Candidatus Gugararchaeales; Candidatus Gugararchaeaceae. The record is from RNAcentral.